UGGGGGAUAUUGCACAAUGGGGGAAACCCUGAUGCAGCGACGCCGCGUGAGGGAAGACGGUCUUCGGAUUGUAAACCUCUGUCUUCGGGGACGAAACUGACGGUACCCGAGGAGGAAGCCACGGCUAACUACGUGCCAGCAGCCGCGGUAAUACGUAGGUGGCGAGCGUUGUCCGGAAUUACUGGGUGUAAAGGGAGCGUAGGCGGGAAUGCAAGUUGAAUGUGAAAUCUAUCGGCUCAACCGAUAGCUGCGUUCAAAACUGUGUUUCUUGAGUGAAGUAGAGGCAGGCGGAAUUCCUAGUGU
Molecule: ribosomal RNA, 303 nt
Filed under: uncultured bacterium
Lineage: Bacteria
Description: bacterial SSU rRNA
Rfam family: Bacterial small subunit ribosomal RNA
Source: RNAcentral